CCUCACUAGCACUGAAUAGUUAGGUUUGUUUCCUGUAUCAAGCAUGGUUGCCCUCUUGUUGAGCAGGUCUUAAGUCCAAUGAGUCCAAUUUAGUCCAAGGUACACACACAUGCCACAACUGCACCCGGGUUGUCAUGCCAUGCUGGUUGAUGCGGUUCACAGGUGUCAGAGCUGGGAAGGACUGUGAGUUGUCUCCCAUCUCUGGAAUCUCGCAUGGUGCUUUCUGGUACCAGGAAGUCUAAUCCAAAGGGAACAGAAAUGCAGGUCAGUUCUUGCUCUGGGUACCACAGCCAUUUUAUAUCCUGGGUUAAACAACAGUAUCCUCUUUUGGAAACAGUGCCUUUUUAGCUGUUUCCUAGGGCACAGUGCUUUUCAUCCCAGUGCUGCUUUGCUGGUCUCCUUUCUCCUGCUACAAAGUAGAGAGAAGAGGGAUGGAAAACAGGGAGUUUGGAGGACACUGUGAGACAUACGUGCUUGGGUCUGUGGGAAAAUCUCACCUCUGGAGCCAGCUUCAGUGAGUUUACAUAGCACAUGACAAUUUCCUAACAAAAGGUAUUCAUUCCACUGUAAAACUGAAGAAAAUACCUUUUUCUGAAGAACUAGAGAAGCGAGAGAGAAGGAAUCCAGUUGCUUGCUGUGCUGUGUAUUGAGAAUGAGGACAAAAAGGAGAUCAUGCCACACAGCUUCCAGAAGCCACGAUCAAAGAGGAUCAAGCCAACAAAACUAUCUGCCUUUACCCCUGGGUAACUUGAGAUACUCUCUGGCUAUACUUGGGGUGAGGGCCAAACUGCUUGAAGGCCUGUACCUGCAAUUAGUGUGUGUCUACACCUGGGAGAAGACAGCCUGAAAAACUGGAGGAAUAAAUAAAUGCCUUUUCACCUACAAACAA
Molecule: long non-coding RNA, 889 nt
Organism: Peromyscus eremicus (cactus mouse)
Lineage: Eukaryota; Metazoa; Chordata; Mammalia; Rodentia; Cricetidae
Exons: 2
Source: RefSeq, a predicted model, not a curated record